This 110-nucleotide ribosomal RNA is filed under the name Pteropus alecto (black flying fox). Lineage: Eukaryota; Metazoa; Chordata; Mammalia; Chiroptera; Pteropodidae. The record is from RNAcentral.
GUCCAUGGUCCAUGCCACAAGCCCAGUGUCUGAUCUUGGAAGCUAAGCAAGGUCUGGCCUGGUUAGUACUUGGAUGGGAGACCACUUAGAAAUACCAGGUGCUAUAGGCA